GCUCGUUGCGGCAGUGAAUGCACUCAACGUGGAACGAUCCAGAGAAGACUAGCCUGUCCCCCGCCGCCGGGGCAAGGAUGACACCCAGAUUGCUGACGUGUUCUGUAU
Molecule: small nuclear RNA, 108 nt
Filed under: Cervus elaphus hippelaphus
Lineage: Eukaryota; Metazoa; Chordata; Mammalia; Artiodactyla; Cervidae
Source: RNAcentral